GGCUUUGUGCAGUGGCAGUAUCGUAGCCAAUGAGUUUGUCCAAGGCGUGAUUAUUGCUAAUUGAAAACUUUUCCCAAUACCCCACCAUGAUGACUUGAAAUAUAGUUGGCCUUGGCAAUUUUUGACAGUCUCUACGGAGA
This 140-nucleotide small nuclear RNA is filed under the name Propithecus coquereli (Coquerel's sifaka). RNAcentral's name for it is "U4 spliceosomal RNA (ENSPCOG00000004825.1)". It matches the Rfam family "U4 spliceosomal RNA". Rfam says of the family: U4 small nuclear RNA (U4 snRNA) is a component of the major U2-dependent spliceosome. The record is from Rfam by way of RNAcentral. Lineage: Eukaryota; Metazoa; Chordata; Mammalia; Primates; Indriidae.